Non-coding RNA from Alligator sinensis (Chinese alligator), 475 nucleotides. NCBI's taxonomy places the organism in Eukaryota, Metazoa, Chordata, Crocodylia, Alligatoridae. The record is from the annotation of a RefSeq genome assembly.
CCGUGUCAGUCAGUGCAGAAGCAGCAAGAUGCUGUGGCAGACUCAGCUCCUCUGGCUCCUUGUGCUCUGGAUGCAGGGCUCCAGCGGCGACAUUGUUGUGACUCAGACUCCAGAGUCCCUGGCUGUGUCCCCAGGAGACACAGUCACCAUCAAGUGCAAAACCAGCUCCAGUGUUAGCAGCAGCAUGGCCUUCUACCAGCAGAAACCAGGGCAGGCUCCUAAGCUCCUUCUCUACGGCACGAACAGACGCGCCUCAGGGAUCCCCGACCGGUUCAGUGGCAGUGGGUCUGGGACUGACUUCACUUUCACCAUCAGCCGGGUGGAACCUGGAGAUGCUGCAGAUUAUUACUGUCAGCAAGGUAGCAGCGGGUCUCACAGUGCUACAGACCAGCACAAAAACCUCCCUGGGCUUCUGCAGUUUCUGUUCCUGUUAGUCCAGAUGCCUUCUGCCCUCACACCAUCUAUUAAACUCUAA